Molecule: ribosomal RNA, 1503 nt
Filed under: human gut metagenome
Description: bacterial LSU rRNA
Rfam family: Bacterial large subunit ribosomal RNA
Source: RNAcentral
CCUCAGGUUUUUGGAGGAAGGUUCGUCCGCUCCAAGUUAGUCGGGAGCUAAGGUGAGGCCGGAAGGCGUAGCCGAUGCACAGACGGUAGAGAUUCCGUCACCACCAAAAGAGUUAAGCACAGGGACACAUUUGAAGUCUCAGAGCCGGGUGUUGGUUCCGGUAGAGAUCGAGGGAAAUUAGUACCGAAGUCUGGGAUGGAAGAUGGCGAGAAAAGCUGUGUGUAUUUCUGAGGUGCCCGUACCGCAAACCGACACAGGUAGGUAGGAAGAAGAUUCUAAGGCCAACGGGAGAAGGGUUGUUAAGGAACUCGGCAAAUUGACCCCGUAACUUCGGGAGAAGGGGUGCUCCAGAGAUGGAGCCGCAGAGAAUCGGCCCAAGCAACUGUUUACCAAAAACACAGGUUUGUGCUAAAUCGAAAGAUGACGUAUACGAGCUGACGCCUGCCCGGUGCUGGAAGGUUAAGAGGAGAUGUGCAAGCAUUGAAUCGAAGCCCCAGUGAACGGCGGCCGUAACUAUAACGGUCCUAAGGUAGCGAAAUUCCUUGUCAGGUAAGUUCUGACCCGCACGAAAGGCGUAAUGAUUUGGGCACUGUCUCAACAGCCCGCCCGGCGAAAUUGUAGUACCGGUGAAGAUGCCGGUUACCCGCGACAAGACGGAAAGACCCCAUGGAGCUUUACUGUAGCCUAAUAUUGGGUUUCGAUGUUGCAUGCACAGGAUAGAUGGGACACAGGGAAACAAUCGCUUUGGCGUUUGCGGAGUGGCCGUUGGGAUACCAUCCUUGCGAUAUUGGAAUUCUAACCUGCGGCUCUGAAUCGAGUCGGGGGACAUUGUUAGGUGGGCAGUUUGACUGGGGCGGUCGCCUCCUAAAAAGUAACGGAGGCGUUCAAAGGUUCGCUCAGCUUGAACGGAAAUCAAGCAAAAGAGUGCAAACGCAGAAGCGAGCCUAACUGCGAGACUGACGGGUCGAGCAGUAACGAAAGUUGGAGUUAGUGAUCCGGUGGUAUGUGAGUGGAAAUGCCAUCGCUCAACGGAUAAAAGUUACCCUGGGGAUAACAGGCUGAUCUCCCCCAAGAGUCCACAUCGACGGGGAGGUUUGGCACCUCGAUGUCGGCUCAUCGCAUCCUGGGGCUGAAGUAGGUCCCAAGGGUUGGGCUGUUCGCCCAUUAAAGCGGUACGCGAGCUGGGUUCAGAACGUCGUGAGACAGUUCGGUCCCUAUCUGUCGUGGGCGCAGGAUAUUUGAUGGGAGCUGUCCCUAGUACGAGAGGACCGGGACGGACGUACCUCUGGCGCACCAGUUGUUCCGCCAGGAGCAUAGCUGGGCAACUACGUACGGAUCGGAUAAACGCUGAAAGCAUCUAAGCGUGAAGCCGACCCAAAGAUAAGAUAUCCCAUUGUUUUAAACAAGUAAGACCCCUUGAAGACUACAAGGUUGAUAGGCACGAUGUGUAAGUGGAGCGAUCCAUUCAGCAAGCGUGUACUAAUAGGUCGAGGGCUUGACCAC